This 575-nucleotide ribosomal RNA is filed under the name uncultured bacterium. RNAcentral describes it as "bacterial SSU rRNA". It matches the Rfam family "Bacterial small subunit ribosomal RNA", at positions 338 to 916 of the family's 1533-position model. The record is from RNAcentral.
CCUACGGGAGGCAGCAGUAGGGAAUAUUGGGCAAUGGAGGCAACUCUGACCCAGCCAUGCCGCGUGCAGGAUGAAGGCGUUAUGCGUUGUAAACUGCUUUUAUAUAGGAAGAAAUAGACCUUGCGAGGUAAGUUGACGGUACUAUAUGAAUAAGCACCGGCUAACUCCGUGCCAGCAGCCGCGGUAAUACGGAGGGUGCAAGCGUUGUCCGGAUUUAUUGGGUUUAAAGGGUGCGUAGGCGGUUUAUAAGUCAGUGGUGAAAGACGGUCGCUCAACGAUUGCAGUGCCAUUGAUACUGGUAGACUUGAGUAUGAUUGAGGUAGCUGGAAUGGAUAGUGUAGCGGUGAAAUGCAUAGAUAUUAUCCAGAACACCAAUUGCGUAGGCAAGUUACUAAGUCAUAACUGACGCUGAGGCACGAAAGUGUGGGUAUCAAACAGGAUUAGAUACCCUGGUAGUCCACACUGUAAACGAUGAUAACUAACUGUUGGCUUUCGGGUCAGUGGUACAGAGAAAUCGUUAAGUUAUCCACCUGGGGAGUACGCCGGCAACGGUGAAACUUAAAUGAAAUUGACGG